Molecule: ribosomal RNA, 309 nt
Filed under: uncultured bacterium
Lineage: Bacteria
Description: bacterial SSU rRNA
Rfam family: Bacterial small subunit ribosomal RNA
Source: RNAcentral
GAUGAACGCUGGCGGCGUGCUUAACACAUGCAAGCCGAGUGAUGAAGUUUCCUUCGGGAAACGGAUUAGCGGCGGACGGGUGAGUAACACGUGGGUAACCUGCCUCAUAGAGUGGAAUAGCCUUCCGAAAGGAAGAUUAAUACCGCAUAAUGUUGAAAGAUGGCAUCAUCAUUCAACCAAAGGAGCAAUCCGCUAUGAGAUGGACCCGUGGCGCAUUAGCUAGUUGGUGGGGUAACGGCCUACCGAGGCGACGAUGCGUAGCCGACCUGAGAGGGUGAUCGGCCACAUUGGGACUGAGACACGGCCCAG